UACGUAGGGUGCAAGCGUUAAUCGGAAUUACUGGGCGUAAAGCGUGCGCAGGCGGUUUUGUAAGUCUGACGUGAAAGCCCCGGGGCUCAACCUGGGAAUUGCGUUGGAGACUGCAAGGCUUGAAUCUGGCAGAGGGGGGUAGAAUUCCACGUGUAGCAGUGAAAUGCGUAGAGAUGUGGAGGAACACCGAUGGCGAAGGCAGCCCCCUGGGUCAAGAUUGACGCUCAUGCACGAAAGCGUGGGGAGCAAACAGG
This 254-nucleotide ribosomal RNA is filed under the name uncultured bacterium. RNAcentral describes it as "partial 16S ribosomal RNA". It matches the Rfam family "Bacterial small subunit ribosomal RNA", at positions 524 to 776 of the family's 1533-position model. The record is from RNAcentral.